Long non-coding RNA from Amyelois transitella, 4801 nucleotides. RefSeq lists it as uncharacterized. The record is from RefSeq and is a predicted model, not a curated record. Lineage: Eukaryota; Metazoa; Arthropoda; Insecta; Lepidoptera; Pyralidae. The transcript has 3 exons.
GCGUUGCCAGACCGUACCAAAAAGUACGGUUUUCCGUACUAUUCAUCACACAACCGUACCACUAUCGUACCUCAGUGCAGACCGUACCUUUUUCGUACCUUUUCCAUAUUAGUAGUUUAUUUUUCACUACAACCUACAAAGGGUAAAAAACAAUAAAAAAUCGCCUUUUUAUGUUUUGCUCAACAUUCUGAAUUUGUGUUCAAAAAACUUUUUUCUUCCAAACAAAUAAGACUUAGCUGUUUGGAUUACAUUCAUUGCCUUUCUUAUUAAGAAACGAUGAACUUAAAAAAAAAACAAAAUAUAGUCUGCGGUCUGCAGGACUCAAAGAAUUGGCGGGAUUAUCACCAAAUGUCAAAUAGUCAAUCUGAAACCGAGAUCGAACUAAAUAUUUAAAGAUAACUUAUUUUCACAAGUAUGAUUAGAAUUUGGUUUUAAUAUAAAGUACUGUGUUCUGUUGUUCGGAUAAUCACAUAACUGAUUGAGAAAACAAUACGAAUCUCGAGACGGAAGAAACAUUAAGUCAAGGUAAGUUGAUGUUGAUGAUGGUUUGCAUUUUUCAUGCAUGAUUUUUGUUUGCAUGGCAAGAAGGCAAAGUUGUGUGACUAAAUGACAAUGCUAUUUCUUUUCUUAUCACCACAGCCAAGGUGUGGUUUAUUGCCUUUCAUUCAUUCUUAUUAAAUAGAUACUGACAAACAACUUAAAAUUUUGCAAACUAUCUGUUCCGAUCUGAUGGUCAAGGGUAGAACUAUAUUUAAUCGCCUUGGACGUUUGAUAUAAUAAAUUAUUUAUAGGUUGACCAGAAAUAUUGCAGACCUGUCAACGAGGGCGCUAAUUAUGCAUUUUACACAAUAACAUUAUACCCUAAACAGGAUUGAUAACUGAUAGAUACCUAUCGAAAAAACGACCCGAGCGAGAUAGGUAGUACGGGGGCCGGCUGUCCCUUUUUAAUAGGGCGACUUCAUAGUCGCGAUAGAGGCGAUUUGGCUAUGUGAGACAAAUUAGAAUUUGCUAAGAUUAUUUAACUUUGUAAAUUUGGAAUUGUUUUUAUAUAACAUAUGCUAUAAAAAACAUUAAAUGCUAAAAAGAUGCUAAAUCAUCCGACGCCAUGACAUGAUAUGAUUUUCAGGGUUACCAUAAAAAAUAAAAAAGCGAAAUAUAAAUUUAUAUUUUCUUUUUGAUUUAAAAAUACAUGCAAAGAAAUUAAUGUGAUUGUUAUUUGUUGACUUAACAAUUGUUAAAAUACCAUAAAAAUAUAAGUGUUUCAAUGAAAUUUUUGAGUAGCCAAAACUGUUGAUUAAAAUAGUGUUCAUUUUCGUAAAUAUAUAUUUUAUAUCAGUCCUUUUUUAGCAAAGCAACACCAAAUAGGUAUGUCAUAUUGAGUAAACUGUCAAAUUGUCAAAUAUAAUCAGACUUAUUUUAGAAGAUGUAAGAACAAGCAAGACCAUAGAGCAACACUGAUUACUGAAUAUUGUCGGGUUAUGGUAACAUUUUUUUUAGCCUUGUUGCCAGUUAUUUUUUUUUGUUGCUUUUUUUAUCCGCAGUGUGGCAAAGUCUGCUAUAUUUCUGGUCGACAUAUAAAAUUAAUAAUCACCACUAGCGUCAAAAUGAAACAGAUAAGUUUGAUGCUAAAAAUCCUGUUUUUUUAAUGUUUUGUUGGGGUUGCCAUCUUGUGAAUUAACAACCGAAUUCAGAAAAUUCCGGAGUAUUUACGUAUAUCACAUAAAUUCAUUUAAGUAAUUGGCUAUUUGAUAGUUGUAACGAUGAAACAUCAAAUAUGUUAAAUAUGAUACUUGAGAUAGCUUGUAACCAAAGAAUAAUGGCACAAUAGAUAUCGCUUUAUAAGAAAUUUUAAAUAUUUUAUUUUCGCAAAAUAGAUUUGUCUUUUUUAUCUGUGGAUAUAUUGUGAUACGUCACAUACAUCUCACAGAAAAUGUCAAGCAAAACGUCACCUGUCAGUUUCAAACAGCGUUCACUGAUUGGCGAGAAAUUGUAAUGUGACGUGACCGGCUGUUUUCGCGCGAAUUUAAAGUAAUGAAUAUUUUUUUGUAAAUAUUUUUCCGAAGGCUGGCACCUAGCCAAUUGUAUGAAUGCAUGUGAUUCUAAUAUUUGAUAUUCAAUAAUACGAAAUUAUACUUUGUUUCAAUAUUUUUGUUUCAUAACUUUCUUUUCUACCUAUACUUACCUACAUUUUUAAUAAGAAAAUUAUUAAUAUUGUGAACGUAUAUACUCUGUAAACGGUCAAAGUAAAAGUUUGCGGAAUGCACAGAACACAAUGAAUCAGAUAGAAAUGAAGACAAUUGAUACAGACAGAAUGAAACAUAUCCAAACUAUUGAAGCUUCAAGCAUGUAUUAGCAAGUUAUUUAUUUAUAAACUCGUGGUAAGUUAAAUUAUUAUUUUACGAGCAUUUUUCAACAUUUCAGCAAAACCAUACGGGUCAGGAUACUUCUGCAAGAACUAGAUAAUAAAGUAGAAUAUUAUUACCGAUUGCCAAUAUCGAACAAAUUCAUUUGUAAAUCAAUUAUAUUAUAUCGCUUUUUUCUAACCUAUGAUCGCAGACAGCCAACUCGAAGGAAAAAAAUCUAGUUUUUGCAGAAUCCCGACCCAACCGUACCUUGAAGUUGAAAACCGUACUUUUUCAGAAAGUCAACAGUCCUUUUUUGGGAAAUCAUACUGGCAACACUGCCGGCAGGCUUGGCUAUUUCGUUGUUUUGUUUUUGUUUUAUGUUACUUAUCAGGAUUUUCAUGUUACUUUCUAAUUAUUAAAUGAUUAUCUGCCAGUCUUAUCUAAGAACACAAUUGACUUUUGAAUUGAUUUACAUUCUAUUGUGCUGGUAAAAGUCACAAUUCAGAUGCAGUGUUGUAUAGGUGCACCUGAAGAAAAAUGUAACCACUAAGCUUGCAUGAAGAGAGUAAUAAAUGUAAUUAAACUAAAGGAGACUAUUAAGUUGGGAGACAACUUGAGACGCUACAAAAUAGAUUAAAGGACAUCUUGGCUUAAUCUAGUGACUCUCAAGACUCCAGUGAAGAUAGAGGUUCUGUGGUAAGUAUUAAAGGUCUAGCAAAAAGGAUACUUAAUUCUCUUGCCAUUAAAUAAACUUGGCCUUUGAUACUUUUGUUCCAGUUCUUCAUUCAAAUCUGUAAAAUGACACAUUUGACCAAACAAAUAUAACAAAAAAUGUUAUUACCAAUUAUAAAUUUUUACAUUUUAUUGUACUUUCUUAUUUGAAUUGGAUGAUAUCGUUAUACCAAUUGUAAAUUUAAAAAUUCCAAGGUCACGUAGAACACGAAUCUAGUAGUUUUAUUACGAAAUAAUUCAUAAAGACUCCUACAAAAUUUACAAUAGCAAUGAUAUGUUUCUGCAUGUAUCACGUGACAUAAUGUACAGGAGCCUUUUAUGCGUUUCCACCAACGAUUCUUAAAUUAGUGUCACCUAAGCAGCAUUUAGGAUGUCCCUUACUAUAAAUUCAUAUUCACCACUGCUAAAGUGUUACCUAAAAAUAAAGAGGAGCCCUUAAAUUUGUCCUUAAACUCUGUUUUGAACAUAAUUUGUAAUUUAAAAGAUAAAAAGAUAAAGUUAAUAGUUAAAUUUCAGAACAACCACCCUUUCGAAUCGUCAUUAAACUGGGGGUGCCCCUAACAAGAAACACCUAGCGUAGUGAAAAUGAAUAUAGGUAAGUAUCUGAUUUUAGAUGACCCUUAGUUUAUGUAAUACUUAGUUUAGGGUGAAUUAAGGACUCGUUGGUAGAAACGGGCAUAAGUCGCAUUUGGGUAUCAAAGUUAGUGUAAAUCACACAACACACUGCCGAUUAGAUUUUGUUCAGGUUGUGAUAGUUGGUAGAACAGUAAGUACAACUUAGCCAACAGUCCUGAAAAAACUAUAAUAGGCAACUGUCAGCUGUUUGGCGAAAGGUUGCUAGCCUAUCGCCUGAAAGAAUAGUUGCAAGUUUAUAAAAUAUAAAGACAUCUCUUAGUCGCCUUUUACGACAUCCAUAAGAAAAUGAAGGAGUGGUCUUAUGCUUUUUUUAUUCGUGCCACAGGACACGGCACUGUUUCAGAAUAAAAAGGUAGUUAAAUCAAAAACACUAUCUACAAGCAAACUUGUCCGUCAUGGCCAAAAAUAUUUUCGUUAAUAGAUAUUGUAGAUCUAUUAAAAGUAGACCAUGGCUAUCAUAUCCAUGGCUAAUACACUUAGGAUUCUUGUAGGCGAUGUGCUAGCAACCUGUCACUAUUUGAAUCUCAAUUCCAUUAUUAAGCCAAACAGUUGAACGUGGCCGUUCAGUGUGUUUUCGAGACUUGGUUCUAUAUACCCCACAAAGGAUAUAGACGUGACUAUAUGUAUGUACGUAUUAAGGUAGUAUCCUAAGGUCAUAGACGCAUUUACAACUAGGUACUUACGACUCACAAAUACAAACUCACUAAUUUAAUAUGCAAAUAUAAUGAAGUUUAUUUAGGUAGGUAGGUAAGUACUUUCCAAUGUUUUCGAAAGCCCAAAAACAUUGCCAAAAGGAGUAUGUAACCGGUCCACUCCUAAUAUGGAAGUAAGAUAUGAAGAGCUUCAGGCGUAAAUUGCUUGUGUCAGGCGAAUUGUAAUUAAUUUUAGGGUUCACCUCUUUUAUUUAUCUUCAAUUUAUCACGAUUGCUGUAUUUCGUGGAACGCAAACCACAAAUGUGGUUGGUAAGUGACUACAUUACAGGUACAAACUUAAAAAAAUGAAGUACCUACAAGCUUUACCUACUUAAUAGGUACCUAGCUACAUAAGUAUUUACUUGUAAGUAUACCUACAUAUACUAUAAAUAAAU